Molecule: non-coding RNA, 101 nt
Organism: Microbacterium sp.
Lineage: Bacteria; Bacillati; Actinomycetota; Actinomycetes; Micrococcales; Microbacteriaceae
Source: Rfam
CCGUUCUCAACGGGGUGCUGCAUCACUGAUGUGCGCUGAGAUAAUACCCGUCGAACCUGAUCCGGAUAACGCCGGCGAAGGGAUUUGAGGCUGUCUCUCAA